CAGUCGCCGCGGUAAUACGAAGGGGGCUAGCGUUGUUCGGAAUUACUGGGCGUAAAGCGCACGUAGGCGGAUAUUUAAGUCAGGUGUGAAAUCCCGCAGCUCAACUGCGGAACUGCCUUUGAUACUGGGUAUCUUGAGUAUGGAAGAGGUUAGUGGAAUUGCGAGUGUAGAGGUGAAAUUCGUAGAUAUUCGCAGGAACACCAGUGGCGAAGGCGGCUAACUGGUCCAUAACUGACGCUGAGGUGCGAAAGCGUGGGGAGCAAACAGGAUUAGAUACCCCCGUAGUCCCUGUCUCUUAUAC
RNAcentral lists this ribosomal RNA (301 nucleotides) under uncultured bacterium. RNAcentral's name for it is "partial 16S ribosomal RNA". It matches the Rfam family "Bacterial small subunit ribosomal RNA", at positions 509 to 807 of the family's 1533-position model. The record is from RNAcentral.